UACGUAGGGUGCGAGCGUUGUCCGGAAUUAUUGGGCGUAAAGAGCUCGUAGGCGGUUUGUUGCGUCGGCUGUGAAAACCUGAGGCUCAACCUCAGGCCUGCAGUCGAUACGAGCAGACUAGAGUGUUGCAGGGGAGACUGGAAUUCCUGGUGUAGCGGUGAAAUGCGCAGAUAUCAGGAGGAACACCGGUGGCGAAGGCGGGUCUCUGGGCAACAACUGACGCUGAGGAGCGAAAGCGUGGGGAGCAAACAGG
Molecule: ribosomal RNA, 253 nt
Filed under: uncultured bacterium
Lineage: Bacteria
Description: partial 16S ribosomal RNA
Rfam family: Bacterial small subunit ribosomal RNA
Source: RNAcentral